UAUUUCCACACACACCCAAAAAAAGAAAGUUGAAAAUGUUAUUGAAUUAUAAAAAAAAAAAGUUACAUUGAAUUUAUAGAUUGUGUUUGCAUAGUAGAUUCAACUUGUUGUUGAAUCUUUUAAUCUUUAAAGAUGAUAUGAAUUAAUUUCUUGUAACAACCCAUCCAGGUGGGAACCACUGCCACAUGACACACCCCGCCACAUGGCAGCUACAAGCGCUGCAGCGCAUCGACCCUAACCUCUCUCCUAUGGGCCCAAACUGCGCAGCCCACUUGCUCGCAGCCUCCUGGCCCACCAGGUAGGUUAUUGGUGCGCCUGGCGUUCCUCGAACCCAGGUCCUCACCCUUUAACAACCUUCCCACUUGACAAGUUGUUACCAAUUGAACUGUAGGUCAGUGUCUUUAAUUUUUAUUUUUAUUUCUCAUACAUGUUUUCUAUUUUUAUUUUUAAGGAUCCUACCAAGUGAUAAUUAUUCAGCCAUGGAUCUUGUAUUUAGCAUAAUUAGCUUA
RNAcentral lists this long non-coding RNA (509 nucleotides) under Capsella rubella. RNAcentral's name for it is "long non-coding RNA (CRUB_LNC003909)". The record is from RNAcentral. Lineage: Eukaryota; Viridiplantae; Streptophyta; Magnoliopsida; Brassicales; Brassicaceae.